GACGAACGCUGGCGGCGUGCUUAACACAUGCAAGUCGAAGCGGUAAAGGCCCUUUCGGGGGUACACGAGCGGCGAACGGGUGAGUAACACGUGGGUGACCUGCCCUCAGCUCUGGGAUAAGCCCUGGGAAACCGGGUCUAAUACUGGGAUAUGACUCCAUGACGCAUGUUGUGGGGNGGAAANCCUUGUGCGGCUUGAGGAUGGG
Molecule: ribosomal RNA, 205 nt
Filed under: uncultured bacterium
Lineage: Bacteria
Description: partial 16S ribosomal RNA
Rfam family: Bacterial small subunit ribosomal RNA
Source: RNAcentral